This 1470-nucleotide long non-coding RNA is filed under the name Fukomys damarensis (Damara mole-rat). RNAcentral's name for it is "lncRNA (ENSFDAG00000027821.1)". The record is from RNAcentral. Lineage: Eukaryota; Metazoa; Chordata; Mammalia; Rodentia; Bathyergidae.
CUCGGGUGAGCCUGCCAGGGAGGUUGAAGACACCAGAGACAGAAGUACAAAGAUGAUGGCAAAGACUGGGGCUCUUCAGAACCUGGACACUUCCUCCCUUCUUUCCCUUUUAUCCUGUCCAGGCUAGAGCCUAUUGGUUGGGGCCACCCACAUCCAGGGCGGGUUUUCUUCUCAGUUUGUUGACCUACACAUCAAUCAUCCACAGACAUGCUCAGAACCAUGUUUUACUGAUUUGCCAAGCCCUUCUUAACCCAUUCAAGUGGUCACAGCCUGGCUAGUGGUCACAAUUUUCAAAAUGAGCAUAUUAAUAAUGCCUAGGCCAGGGCUCUCUGUCAUGAUUAAAUAAGAUAAUGCAGGCAGCAUAUUCAGUCUGUAGUUUGCCACAUAGUAAGCAUUCCAAAAACACUGUGUAUUAUUUUAUUCAUGUAAAACACAUUUAUUCAGCACCCACUAUAUGCCAGAUGCUGUUCUAAGAGGAAGAGAGGAAGAGCUCAAGCGAAUUUGAAUCACAAAGGAAUACAAGAAAAUGACGAACGGGGAUGACACCUGUCGUCACAUUAGGAGCACCAGCACCUUGUCUCUUUACCUCCACCCCAAUCGUAUUCAAGCAUUUCCUUUACACAGGGUAAACCCAUCCUCCAUCCUCCAUCCUUGGAAUCUGCUCUGCCUGGCCCUCAGAUGCACUUGUUAAUUAACACUCAGCCAGAUCAACACUAUUUCUCAUCAUUUAAUAAUGAACUUGCGCUGUGUUAAGCUUUCAGCUCAAAAAGAAAGACUUUUCUGCUCUUCAGAGGGCUGAGAUUUUGACUUUGAUAUAUCAUUUAUGCACUGCACCCAUUAUUGAUGGGUUACAGCUUUUACACAAGGUGCUGACCUUUUUCAGAUAAAGACAAAACUACAUUGUCCUGAUCUGUUUCUUGUCCAUACUGUUUUCAGAGUACGAGGAAUCCCUGUGUUCUGCGGACUUGGCUGCGAAGCUUCCUUUCUUUGAGAACAAAUGGCAGGAAGGCCCCACUCCUGCGUCGCCGUCGCCGGCUGGGGCGGAGCUGCGCGCAUGUCUUCCCCCCAUGCCGCAGUGCUGUGGCCAGCUUCUCGGCGUCACAGAAAUGUGGAUUUGCAGGAAAACCAAGCAGAUGCCACGGAGACUCCUGCCCUCCUCCUGCCUCCCGGUUUCCUGUUGCUGACUUUGUGCGCAGCGUGCCAAGCGUGUUAGCACCGGUGAGCAGACACAGACCCGCCACAAGUGACUGAGGCCAUGCACGCUGCAAAUUGCACACUUCUGGGUCAUAACGUGGGCCACCGCUGCAGCGGGGUACAGCGGGGUUUCUCUGCCCAGAAGGCCCUGGGCCUUGGCCGCCCCCUCCUCCGAGCCCUGGUGUCUCUCCUGGUUUUGCCUUUUCCAAGCGCAGAGCUGGACUGGCAGUGGUUGGCGUUUCCACACUGGCUUCUUUCCCUCGGGGCACAGCAACG